Molecule: long non-coding RNA, 1063 nt
Organism: Siniperca chuatsi (mandarin fish)
Lineage: Eukaryota; Metazoa; Chordata; Actinopteri; Centrarchiformes; Sinipercidae
Exons: 3
Source: RefSeq, a predicted model, not a curated record
UCAUAUCCACACCAGAUAAAUGUUACGAACAGAUAGUUGGGAGACACCGAUAUGAAGACAGAUGUUGAUUUAUUUGAAACAGCAGAGUAAACUAAGGUCGCAUAUAAUAGAUGGUUAUGAGGAUGUUUGGAAUGAACACAGAUACUGUCCUUUGCUUAUGGAUCUGUAUGUGAUGGUGGGUUGGUUAGUAAUGAAACCACACAGGAGUGAAGCACCCGUUAGAGCGGAUACACCCUGGAGUGGAAUGGAAGGAGACACAGGCUGGAGUGGGAACACACAGGAGCCGGAUGGAGUAGAACCACGAUGGAAUGAAGACAGAACACACUGAAGCCGACUCACUGUUAGUGGCCAUUGUCAUCAAGAGGAGUCCUUCUAGUCUUGAACAAGACCGGACAAUUGACUGGGAUGCUGAUGCAUUGGACUGUCAACCAACUGCUGUCAAGUAUACAUCAUCAGGCACGAUUGUCUAAAACAAAAAGUGACAAAAAGAACAAUUUUAUGAAGCCCUACACGUACCAUCACAAUAUGACGAAACAAUAAGAUGGGGAUUCUUUAAUGAAGAUGACAAAGAAAAUACAGCCCGGAUGACUGACUAUGCCGAAUGUCCUGGACAACAAAAUUUCACAUUCCUAACACAAGAAGCAGAAGAGGCUGCUUUAGGAAUCAACACUGAUGAACAAGAGGACAAACCUCAUAAGACGAUGGAGGAAACUGCUGUCACAGCCUCUACCGCCACAUGCUAUGAACAUUUUGAAAGCAACCACACACCUGAGUAUUGAAAAUAUCAUCUCAAGAAAAAUUAGAGGAUUGCUGGGGAUGUCACAUUAAACAUCCAAGACCCUUUGUUUUACCCACUCACCCACCCACUCACUGUUUUGAUCACACCCUCGAUCUUGUUCUGGUAUAUGGCAUUAAAAUUGAACAUUUAAUAGUCUUUCCACAGAAUCCUUCAUUAUCGGACUAUUAUUUAAUAACUUUUGAACUCCUGUUACUGGACUACAUGCCAUUAGGCAAAAACUCCUACUCUAAAUGUCUAUCUGAUAGUGUUGUAGCUAAAUUUAUA